GAGGAAGAAUGUUGGCAGUUACAACCUGUUAGACUCCAGGAGUGAGAAUUGAAGGAGGGACUAGGAGGAACUAAGUGAUGAUAUGAAAACCUCUGCAAAUGGUACAAAGAUCAUCAUUCAAAAAGAAAAAGAAAAAGUAAGAACACAGUCCUGUGAGGUGUUGGGAAGCUGCUAAAACGUGCUGUGGUGUCUCAACACCAGAUAGUUCUCUAUAGUUCCAAGACUCAAAUCAAGAGGUUAUGGGCAUCCACAGCCACCAGUGAACCCAACAGAAGCUGCAGGUGCUCAGCAUUUUAGAGAAUCAAGCCCUUCGAGUGGUUUCAGGCACCUCACCACACCUGGGUGAGAUAGUUCCAGGUCCAGCCCUGUAUUUGAAGAGCCAGUAUUGGGAGGAAGCCCAGAACCCAGCUCGCCCCAUCACAGCCUGGGUGGACCUACUCCCCACAGGAACCAGUGAGGAGAGCUCCAGUAGUGAGGGAGUCCUGCCCAAGUCAGGAACACAAAGCACCAGCAUUGUUGUAAGGGGAAGCUGAUCUCAUCUACCAUGGGAUUGCAUGAGGAGAGAGGCAAUCUCAAAGGUGCAGAGUACAUUUAUAAACAAUAUGCCACUCCCAUAAAACACACCAACUACAUAAUGCUGAAAUAUGGCUGCCAUGAACAGGUGUGAUCUGAUGGAACAGCUCUGGCCACUUUUGGAUGGUACUGGCCUUCCGAGUCCCCCUCCUCUGCAGGAGGGAGGCUGCAGCUUUUUGUACCAUUAGAACUUCUUCCUUUGAAGUUUCCACAAGCAAGAUCUAUGCUGGAGUUUACAUCUGCAGAAGUCAUCACGUGGUGCUGCAACCAUCAUCUUGGCCAACAGAGUGGGGAUUGAACUGGAGACUUCCAAAGCAAAAAAGCAGCUACUGCUAGUGCUAUAAUCGACUUAUUUAGCCUCUGCAGAUCUGGCACAGCUGUAACACACACUUACCAGUAGGUUACACUGCCUCUGUGGUUUCCACACAGCUUGUAUGAAAAACUGCUGCAAAGAUUGCUCAAAAAUAGUAGUGCAUAAUAUUGUGCCUCUUACAUGUAGUUGUGCAGGCAGACAAGGGAGGGGGCCAGUGGGAGUACAGCAUUGCCAUAAAGAAAGGGUGAGGAUUAAGGGCACAAGCUGCCUAGGAACACCAAGCACAUAUAACCUCCUAUAAACAAAAGCAUUUAGUGGCAUAUGCAGGCACAUAGAAGGGAUGUGAUGGGGAUAGGAAUGAGGGAGAACAGGAACAAUAACAGGAAACCAGGACACUCACCCAAGCACAGUACAAACCAGCCAGCAGCACCUCUGUGUUUGCUUUGGGACAGUAUGAGGUAAAGGGAAGUGCUUUAUGCUUGGUCUAUUACCUUACUAAAAGUAUCACAAAAGUACUCUCAAACAUUUUAAUUGUUGUUGCCACUCCUCCAAUUCACAUCCUAGCUUCUCCAAUAUUAGAAAGGUGUGGUAAGCCAGUUUCAUAUUAGGGAAGGAAGAAAGAGACCUAUUAAUACAAAAUAGUCACAGAAAGUCUGAAAGUUCAGUACAAAGCAUUGCCAUUUGGCAUGUUUUGUGAUUUUUUCCUAUAAUAAUCAGUACAGUUACAAUGACCCAGUGCUAAGCUAGAGGGCCUUUAAACACAGGAAGGUGCACAAGUGUGUGUGUGUCUUUGUGUGUAAUGCUUUAAGGAAUGUAUAAAUGACUUGAAUCGCUUUCAAGGACACGACUACCUUUUUGGACAAAGCCAGCAUUGUACGUCUCAUUAUGACAAUGCAAAGUGCAAGUGCCAGAUCACAAGACUAACUUUCUCGGUAAGUAAUUUGAGUACUGGUGUACAUAAAAUUAAAAAAAAAACAACUGGCAGACAUUUAAACUGUGCAGUUUACUUUGAAAACAUUAAUGUUUGACUUAGCUUGAGAAGUCUUAAGAAAUUACAACUUUGAUCUUAAGAACAACUUGUAAUACGAGGUCUGCUGCAAUCCAGGUCAGUUAUGAUGCCAUCAGCCUAACGUCAGAAGUAAAACACAUAAACAUAUAGCUAAUUUAUCUAGAUGGCACCUAAUAAGCCAGGCUCAUGGAAAAUUGCAAUAAAGAUAUGGUACUUGCAUAUCAUUUUCUGCAAAAAUUGAUAGGGAACUGCUACCUUGGUCCCAUCUCAUUGAUUUUUUUACCAGUAAGAUGUUCUGUGCCUUCUUGUGUCCAACUAGACAUUGGCCUGAACCAAAGCUCCAGAUAGAAUUACAUAAUGUGUGUUUGAAUCCAAAUAGGAAUGUUUUUGCUGUGCUCUAUUUCAGUAUCAAACCUAGACAAGAUCCCUAAUGCUGAGCACCCCUGAAUUUUGAAAACCAGAUCUAGAGCCAGUUUGCAGUUGAUUUACUGGAUACAAAAGCAAAUCCAUAUAGGUAAAUGGGAGGAGGAAUAACUCAGUGGUUUGCGCAUUGGCCUGCUAGCUCUAGGGUUGUGAGUUCAAUCCUUGAGGGGGCCACUUAGGAAUCUGGGGCAAAAUCAGUACUUGGUCCUGCUAGUGAAAGCAGGGGGCUGGACUCAAUGACCUUUCAGUUCUAGGAGUUAAAUAUAUCUCAAAUUAUAAACAUUUUAUGUAUUAUCACCUCAAAAACCACAAUGCAUUUUUAAAUCCUCCCACUGUAUCUAUGGGCUUGGAAAGAGUCAAGUGUUAUUUGUUUAUGAAUUUUGAUGGAUAAUAUUGAUAUUUUGAAAUCUAUAUAUGUAUAUUUGUUUUGACUUCCAUUUUUUAUAAAUAACAGUUUGAUGGUGCGUUCACCCCUCACAUGCCCUGAAAGGGCUAAUGUAGGCUAAAAGGGGAGCCAGUUUACCAGACAGGCCCCAGAUGAGGGGAAUGACAUCGCUGAUAGAAUGAAGAAGCCCAGCUGAGGAGGAACAAGCUGGGUUGGAUUUAUAAAGGCAGGAAGCUAAUAGCAGAGGGGGCUGCAGGGAAGUAGGGUGCAGUCACUCCCAGGAAGAAGGAAGGUGUGAGGCCGGCAAAACCAGAGGAGAGCCAGAAGGUAUGGAAGCAGCUCAGGGAAAAAGCAGUAAGUCUAGGAGAGAACAGACCUUGGCUGCUGACUAGAGGGUCCCUGAGCUGGAACCUGGAGUAGAGGGUGAGCCUGGUUCCCCUGCCAG
Mauremys mutica (yellowpond turtle) is the source of this 3148-nucleotide long non-coding RNA. RefSeq lists it as uncharacterized. The record is from RefSeq and is a predicted model, not a curated record. The transcript has 7 exons. Lineage: Eukaryota; Metazoa; Chordata; Testudines; Geoemydidae.